UGGAAAUUGAGCAGUCAUCUUGUACCAUUGUGGGGACAUGAGGACAAAAGCUAACAUCGAGAAUGGUAAAACAGAAAGACUGAAAGCACCAGAUACUUGUGAGGCUACCCUAUCAGAAAAUCUCAGACUGUCUCUUCAGAGAGCAUCCCCAUCUUGGCCUCACACGUCACAUGUCCUGAAGUGCAAAACUGCAAAGGGGAUGAACUCAGUCUAAUACGAAGACAUUGGAGGCUAGGGCACAGCAGGAUUUGAGGGGAUGUGGAUUCCUGGGCCAUGAAACCAAAGAUGAAA
Lutra lutra (Eurasian river otter) is the source of this 291-nucleotide long non-coding RNA. RefSeq lists it as uncharacterized. The transcript has 3 exons. Lineage: Eukaryota; Metazoa; Chordata; Mammalia; Carnivora; Mustelidae. The record is from RefSeq and is a predicted model, not a curated record.